This 600-nucleotide ribosomal RNA is filed under the name uncultured bacterium. RNAcentral describes it as "bacterial SSU rRNA". It matches the Rfam family "Bacterial small subunit ribosomal RNA", at positions 338 to 951 of the family's 1533-position model. The record is from RNAcentral.
CCUACGGGAGGCAGCAGUGGGGAAUAUUGCACAAUGGGCGCAAGCCUGAUGCAGCGACGCCGCGUGAGGGAUGACGGCCUUCGGGUUGUAAACCUCUUUCAGCAGGGACGAAGCGCAAGUGACGGUACCUGCAGAAGAAGCACCGGCCAACUACGUGCCAGCAGCCGCGGUAAUACGUAGGGUGCAAGCGUUGUCCGGAAUUACUGGGCGUAAAGAGCUCGUAGGCGGUUUGUCGCGUCGUCUGUGAAAACCAGCAGCUCAACUGUUGGCUUGCAGGCGAUACGGGCAGACUUGAGUAUUUCAGGGGAGACUGGAGUUCCUGGUGUAGCGGUGAAAUGCGCAGAUAUCAGGAGGAACACCGGUGGCGAAGGCGGGUCUCUGGGAAAUAACUGACGCUGAGGAGCGAAAGCGUGGGUAGCGAACAGGAUUAGAUACCCUGGUAGUCCACGCCGUAAACGGUGGGCGCUAGGUGUGGGUUUCCUUCCACGGGAUCCGUGCCGUAGCUAACGCAUUAAGCGCCCCGCCUGGGGAGUACGGCCGCAAGGCUAAAACUCAAAGGAAUUGACGGCUGAGACGNGCGAGACGACACGAGGGAGGAGG